This is a microRNA precursor of Cercocebus atys (sooty mangabey), 62 nucleotides long. NCBI's taxonomy places the organism in Eukaryota, Metazoa, Chordata, Mammalia, Primates, Cercopithecidae. The record is from Ensembl.
GAGUGUGAGCCUUCUGUCAUGCCCGGGUAGGGCCACCAGAGGGCUCCUUGGUCUAGCGGUAA